RNAcentral lists this transfer RNA (65 nucleotides) under Trinectes maculatus (hogchoker). Its description in RNAcentral is "tRNA-Cys". It matches the Rfam family "tRNA". Rfam says of the family: Transfer RNA (tRNA) molecules are approximately 80 nucleotides in length. The record is from RNAcentral. Lineage: Eukaryota; Metazoa; Chordata; Actinopteri; Pleuronectiformes; Achiridae.
AGUCCUGAGGUGUAAACAUAUUAGAUUGCAAAUCUAAAGUAGCAGGUUAACCCCUGCCGGGGCUU